This 1081-nucleotide ribosomal RNA is filed under the name uncultured Rhizaria. Its description in RNAcentral is "SSU rRNA". It matches the Rfam family "Eukaryotic small subunit ribosomal RNA", at positions 577 to 1674 of the family's 1831-position model. The record is from RNAcentral.
CGGUAAUUCCAGCUCCAAUAGCGUAUACUAAAGUUGUUGCAGUUAAAAAGCUCGUAGUUGGAUUUCUGCGGGGACGGAGCGGCCGGUCGCAACUUGCGACUCGAGCUAGCGCUUUCCCCGCAUCCUGCCGCGAACCGUGCUACCAUUAGUUUGGUGGCGCUGGGGAUCGGCUCGAUUACUUUGAGAAAAAUAGAGUGUUCAAAGCAGGCCACACGCCUUGAAUAAGUUAGCAUGGAAUAAUGACUAAGGACUUUGGUUCUUUUCGUUGGUGUUCGGGACUGAAGUAAUGAUUGAUAGGGACAGUUGGGGCGGUCCGUAUUCCAAAGCGAGAGGUGAAAUUCUUAGACCUUCGGAAGACGAACAGCUGCGAAAGCGUUCCGCAAGGAUGUUCCCUUUGAUCAAGAACGAAAGUUGGGGGAUCGAAGACGAUCAGAUACCGUCGUAGUCUCAACUAUAAACUAUACCAGCUAGGGAUCGGCCAACGUUUAAUUAUUCGACUUGGUCGGCACCUUAUGAGAAAUCAAAGCAUCUGGGUUCCGGGGGGAGUAUGGUCGCAAGGCUGAAACUUAAAGGAAUUGACGGAAGGGCACCACCAGCCGUGGAGCCUGUGGCUUAAUUUGACUCAACACGGGAAAACUUACCAGGUCCGGACAUAGUAAGGAUUGACAGAUUGAUAGCUCUUUCUUGAUUCUGUGGGUGGUGGUGCAUGGCCGUUUUUAGUCGGUGGAUGUGAUCUGUCUGCUUAAUUGCGUUAACGGACGAGACCCCAGCCUGCUAAAUAGCGCGGCCGAGCUUUGCUCGGUGCGAGCUUCUUAGAGGGACCAUGAUGCGCGAUAGCACAAGGAAGUUUGGGGCAACAACAGGUCUGUGAUGCCCUUAGAUGUUCUGGGCCGCACACGGGCUACACUGGCGCCUGCAACGAGCAUAUCAGCUGGCCCGAGAGGGUCUUGGCUAAUCUUUGGAACCGGCGCCGUGCUUGGGAUUGACCAUUGCAAUUGUUGGUCAUGCAACGAGGAAUGCCUUGUAAACGCGAGUCAUCAGCUCGCAUUGAAUACGUCCCUGCCCUUUGUACACACCGCCC